GACGAACGCUGGCGGCGUGCUUAACACAUGCAAGUCGAACGGAAAGGCCCUGCUUUUGUGGGGUGCUCGAGUGGCGAACGGGUGAGUAACACGUGUGUAACCUGCCCUUGACUUUGGGAUAACUUCAGGAAACUGGGGCUAAUACCGGAUAGGAGCUCCUGCUGCAUGGUGGGGGUUGGAAAGUUUCGGCGGUUGGGGAUGGACUCGCGGCUUAUCAGCUUGUUGGUGGGGUAGUGGCUUACCAAGGCUUUGACGGGUAGCCGGCCUGAGAGGGUGACCGGCCACAUUGGGACUGAGAUACGGCCCAGACUCCUACGGGCGGCAGCAGUGGGGAAUAUUGCACAAUGGGCGGAAGCCUGAUGCAGCAACGCCGCGUGCGGGAUGAAGGCCUUCGGGUUGUAACCCGCUUUCGCCUGUGACGAAGCGUGAGUGACGGUAAUGGGUAAAGAAGCACCGGCUAACUACGUG
Molecule: ribosomal RNA, 468 nt
Filed under: uncultured bacterium
Lineage: Bacteria
Description: partial 16S ribosomal RNA
Rfam family: Bacterial small subunit ribosomal RNA
Source: RNAcentral